RNAcentral lists this ribosomal RNA (457 nucleotides) under Lactobacillus iners. RNAcentral describes it as "partial 16S ribosomal RNA". The record is from RNAcentral. Lineage: Bacteria; Bacillati; Bacillota; Bacilli; Lactobacillales; Lactobacillaceae.
CAUGGCGGCCGCGGGAAUUCGAUUAUCGUAUUACCGCGGCUGCUGGCACGUAUUUAGCCGUUCCUUUCUGGUAAGAUACCGUCACACAUUGAACAGUUACUCUCAAUGUCAUUCUUCUCUUACAACAGUGUUUUACGAGCCGAAACCCUUCAUCACACACGCGGCGUUGCUCCAUCAGGCUUUCGCCCAUUGUGGAAGAUUCCCUACUGCUGCCUCCCGUAGGAGUAUGGGCCGUGUCUCAGUCCCAUUGUGGCCGAUCAGUCUCUCAACUCGGCUAUGCAUCAUCGCCUUGGUAAGCCAUUACCUUACCAACUAGCUAAUGCACCGCGGGACCAUCUCUUAGUGAUAGCAGAACCAUCUUUUAAACAGUUGAUAGGCAUCAUCUGUUGUUAUCCGGUAUUAGCACCUGUUUCCAAUCACUAGUGAAUUCGCGGCCGCCUGCAGGUCGACCAUAUGG